Molecule: long non-coding RNA, 533 nt
Organism: Monopterus albus (swamp eel)
Lineage: Eukaryota; Metazoa; Chordata; Actinopteri; Synbranchiformes; Synbranchidae
Exons: 5
Source: RefSeq, a predicted model, not a curated record
AUCCAUAGGUCAGUGUUGCUUAUUUAAAUUUGAGCUUUUCGCACCAUUUAAGGCAGUUUCAACCUACGAAAAGUCAAAUUACUUCCAGGUUUUCGAAGUCGAGGCGAGGUCAAAGUCGACAGGUGCCUUAAAAACAACAGGAAGUAGAUUAUUGUUUAGGCUGCUUGUCAACAGGGGGCAGUAGCUGCAGCAGUGAGACCCAGCUCAUGGAGGUAAAAAUGAAGCCACAUCAACUUCAAAUGUGGAGGUGUUGAUGUUGAAGCCAGCUGUUGGCAGAAUGAGGACGCAUACACUUUUAAAAAUAUGGAGAAACCCCACCACUGCACCCAGGAGGAAGCCCCUCUAGGACUGAACCAAAAUCCAGGUGAAAUGACCCAUGAACAGAAGCUCAGGAGCCUGUAGGAGCAGGAGGACUGUGGGAGAUGCUCGUUUGCUUUCCUGUUGAGGGAUAAGGUGGGUGUCUUACCGUAGAAGCAGCUCCAGGAGUGCCAGGAGGUUCUGUUCCUCCUUCUGUUCUUCCCUGCAAACAUCGU